CUCAGAAGGCCGCUGGCGUGUGGGACGGGGGCUGUGGCAGAGGCCCUGAGAGGAAGUGAAGUCUCCUGCCCAACCCUUCGGAAAGGCCACCCGUGGCUGGUGGGAGCCGGGCCGGGGCGCUGAGGGCCGGCUUCUGCCCACUCGUGCCAGGCCCCGGGGGUCCCUGGUCUUGUCCUUGCCUCCAUGCAAACAUCCACACCUGGAAGCUGGGGCGAGGUCUGGCCACUCCUGGAAUAUCAGCCUCCACUCCUGGCCCCACCGCGUAAGAGGAGAAACUACCAACAGUGUUCCCAGGAGGAGAAGUUCUCUCUGAGGAUGAGGAACUAGCGGGAGGACCUCACUGGUCUGCCUGGGAAAGGAGGCUGCUGGAGGGAGAGCAUGCUCUUCUGAAGAGAGGCUGGUGAGCUGCUCUGCAGACCUGGCCUCGGGGUGGAGCCCGCUGGGAGCAGCAUUUCUCAGUGGACCUGACUGGAGAUGCCUUUGGAAGGUAGUGAGCUCCCCGUCAUGGGAAGUGUGUGAACAGAGUUGGCUGAUCUGAUAGUGAUGGCAUGAGAGCAUUUCAAGUGUCAGAAGCAGCAUUGGACUUACUGUUUCCAAACUUCAUUUUGGAUUUUAUUCCUGGAGACUGUUAUUUACACAAUGUUUUUCCUUCGGACAAUUCAUGUAUUUUACUAAAACAGUACAUUUCUUUUUAAAAAGGUAAAUCCGUGUCUUUAUCCUAGAGAGGCUAGCAUCAACAUGGAAAAAGGAAAACGGAAAGCGGUGUUCACUUCUAGCCAAAGACUACUGCCUGCAGAGAGCUCUGGGCCUCGGACCUGCUCCCUCUUUGUUUGCCAAAGGGCUGCCGUCAGUCGCUAAGGGGCAGGAGACCAUCUCCGGACCCGACCGGCAGGUGGGAGGAGGAGGGAGGAAAGGCCUGGCUCCCGCCGUGAUUCCCUGCUGUUUGCCAUUUUGCCUGGGCCCUGUCUCCAUCCAUGGCCCACUCGACGGAGCCUUCGUCCACCUCUGGGAGGCGCUGGCCCCCAGCGAGCCUGGGCUCACGGCCCUUCCCUGUCCGUACCACCAGACUGAGGGCUCUCCACCGGGGAUCCUCUCGAGGCUCUUGUCCACAGGCACAAUUUAAAAGGGUUUUGUCUGGGGCAGAAAUAAUUAAAAGGAAAAGAAAGAAAGAGCUCAAGUUCCGCCGGCUCCCCUGCGGUCCUGCGGGGGAUGCCCAGCUGCAUGUCAGGGCACCUCCAGAAGACUCUGAACGGGCCAGGUGCAUGUUUAUGGCCAAUCAUUCUCCUCUGAUAUCAUCUCUGGAGGCACCCCAAAGCACUGAAAUGUGCAGGCUUUUGCUGUCACACCGUCUCUCUGUGGACGUCUGCUGGCUUUCUGCACAUCUCACGUCCAGGAGAGACGUCUCCUCCUGAGAUCAGAAGCAAAGAGAGAGAAACUCUCUCCAGGUCUUGGGACAAGUUAAUGGCCAAACUGGAAGUACCCCCGACACUCCACAGGUGGACAGAUGAGGCGCCAUGUUCUUUCUAGAGGCCACCAACAAACCGGUCACUGCUUAGAGAUACUGGUGAUAGAGACGAGGGUCUGGGUGGAGAAAGAUGGACCACACAGCCCUGAGCUCUGAGGACCUCAUCUGAGGACACGUGGGGCACCCUAAGUUCCAGGAAAGGCAGGCCCAACAGAGUGGGGGGCCCCCUCUGUGCCGGCGGCUCUGUAGCUCAGGAGCUUCAGAAGCUGCAGGGAGACAGGGGCCGGCCCCCAGUGCCCACGGAGCCCAGCCCUCGUCCAGACCCAGGGCCCGGCUGCCCAGCAGCUCCCUAGAAGGAUCAUUUGACUUUCAUCAGGAUCCACUUUCUGCACUCGCUUCUAUAAGGAGACAACUAUGUUUGCCAGCUGGAGGGCACCCAGAACUGCCCGGGCCUGCCCAGCUGCCCCGCUGGGCUGGGGUGGAGGUGGGGUCAGAAGGUCCAUUUGGCAGAGCCCUCCCGUUCCGGAAUGGGAAUUGCUGGGAGCUUCACAGGUAUGCACGCAGGGCCGUCCGACGUGGCCCGAGAGGGUCAGGCCUUCCAGCUUGCUCUUACCCCGACCCACGGAAGACCCGUCACUCCUGAAUCCUGUCCCUGCCUUGACUAGCAAGACUAGUUUGCAUCGAAGGGGUUUUGUGUCACACACAUUAAAAGCAAACAUUCAAAUUAUCAGCAAUUAUUUGUAGGCCUGCUUGGGCGUUCCUUCGUGUUUUGUUUUGUUGGGAACUGCCGCAAACCGAGCGGGCUGGAGGUUUCCCCGCCACCGAGGCCCUGCCCUCGGCAUCCUUGUCCCACUAAGCCAAGGCUGCUCCUCAGGACAAUCAACAAAAAGGAGCAAAAGACCCUAGGAAGGGAAAAACACACAACGCAGGGCGGCAGGGGCCUCCGAGUCUGCCGUGGAGCUGGGGGGGUCUGUCCGCAUCCCUCCGGAGACCCCCAUGCCCUCUCGGCUCAGCUCCCCCCUUGCCCAGUGUCCUUGUCCUGUGUCUCCCACUGGCCUGGGGCUGGAGCUCAGAGCUCAUACCUCCUGCCUGGCGCCCGGCUCCCUGCCCUCCCGCCUGAUCUGGUUGCCCUCUCCCAGCCAGUGGGACCUGCCUGCCCCACAGGCACCCUGCAGUACACACUGUACUGUCCUUUUUCCCGAAAACUUCCUUCUUUGCCGACUAUGGACAUCUCCAUCCCACCUCCUCCAGGAAAUCCUCAAGGACCUCGUCUCUCUCUCCGCCCCUGGAAGCUGGCUCUCUGAGCUCUGUAGGUCUUUGUCUGUGGGCAUAGACCUCGCCCAGGUGCUGCCAGGUUGCAUGCUCCCUGGAGAACCUUCCAGCAAUCUGGCCAUCCAGCGUUUGACACCCCAGCUGUGAGCAAGGCACUGGGGGUGAAAAAGAGGGGACGCACGCACGUUCAUGAGACAUGAUUGCAAGGGGCUGCCUCAGUUUCCCCAGCCCCGGGAGACAUCCUGGACAUCCACAGCCUGUUGCCAGCCCAGGGUCCCCUCUGCUGGCAAUGGCCUCGUCAUGGUCCUGGAACUGCUUCCGGCCAGGUGGUUCUGUUCACUGAGUCACCAGCACACUGGUCUGCCUGAGCCCUUGGGCUACCUUCCUCCCCCCACCCAGGACCUUUUCGACCUUCAUGCUGGACGACACGGCUCCAUCCCAGAGAGGAGCUGCAGGGGCCCGAGAGGCCCCUUCCCCGGAGUAAGCCGUGAGGUCACCGGCAAACUCCCAACGGAGAAGCCGACCUCCAGGGCCUCUAACUUAGCGAUGGAGCGGCGACCAGGUGGCUGCCAGCUACCCACA
Mirounga angustirostris (Northern elephant seal) is the source of this 3319-nucleotide long non-coding RNA. RefSeq lists it as uncharacterized. The transcript is spliced from 3 exons. NCBI's taxonomy places the organism in Eukaryota, Metazoa, Chordata, Mammalia, Carnivora, Phocidae. The record is from RefSeq and is a predicted model, not a curated record.